This 1689-nucleotide ribosomal RNA is filed under the name Austrorhynchus karlingi. RNAcentral's name for it is "eukaryotic LSU rRNA". It matches the Rfam family "Eukaryotic large subunit ribosomal RNA", at positions 24 to 1511 of the family's 3401-position model. The record is from RNAcentral. Lineage: Eukaryota; Metazoa; Platyhelminthes; Rhabdocoela; Polycystididae.
UUAGGUCGACCGCUGAACUUAAGCAUAUCAGUAAGCGGAGGAAAAGAAAAUAACAAUGAUUUCCUUAGUAGCGGCGAGCGAACAGGAAUUAGCCCAAUACCGAAUCCUUCACCUUUGGUGUUUGGAAAUGUGGUGUAUGGUUUUAUUCAUACGGCUUGUUGUUUAUCGUUCCAAGUCCACGUGAUUGUGGCAUCAAGCCCAUAGAGGGUGUGAGGCCCGUAAGAGCGAUACAACUUGUCAUGAGUAUAACUAUGAGUAGGGUUGCUCGGGAUUGCAGCCCAAAUUGGGUGAUAAACUCCAUCCAAGGCUAAAUACAACACGAGUCCGAUAGCGAACAAGUACCAUGAGGGAAAGUUGAAAAGAACUUUGAAGAGAGAGUUCAACAGUGCGUGAAACCGCUCAAAGGGAACCGGGUAGAGCUGAAGGAGACAUGGCAUAUUUGUAUUUUGUGCUGGCUAUUUGUGGAUUUUCGAGACUUAUUGCUCGUUACUUUGAGUAUGCUAGCGCGUUAUACUAUUGUGCUGUGGCGACACCACGAUCAGUAGUUACAUUGUUCUGGCAUAAUUGGGAAGGUAGCUCAACUUGUUGAGUAUUAUAGCCCAAUUAUCUAGCACCAAUCGAGUACUGAUAAUUGGCGUUGUACCAAUGACAAUAUGAGGAACGAAGCUGCUGUAACAACUCAUUAAGAGAUGGUAUAGUUGUCUGAGCUCUUUGUUAUGUCCUCUUGAUAUUGCGUAUCAAUCAGUGGUGGCAUUGUAGGCAUUCUACCCGACCCGUCUUGAAACACGGACCAAGGAGUUUAGCAUGCACGCGAGUCAUGGGGUUGUUCGAAACCUAAAGGCGUAAUGAAAGUAAAGGCUAAUUUAUUGUUAGCUGAGGUAGGAUCUCGGUUUUCAUUGGGCAUUAAUGCACAUGGACUAAGCGCACUACCAGCUCGUCCCAUGUUUUAUUAAGCGGGGCGAAGCAAGAGCGUACAUGCUGAGACCCGAAAGAUGGUGAACUAUGCUUGUGCAGGUUGAAGCCAGAGGAAACUCUGGUGGAGGACCGUAGCGAUUCUGACGUGCAAAUCGAUCGUCAAACAUGAGUAUAGGGGCGAAAGACUAAUCGAACCAUCUAGUAGCUGGUUCCCUCCGAAGUUUCCCUCAGGAUAGCUGGCACUCGUGAAUGAAACAGUUUUAUUCGGUAAAGAGAAUGAUUAGCAGUAUUGGGGAUGAAAUAUCCUCAACUGAUUCUCAAACUUUAAAUGGGUGAGAAGCUCAACUCUCUUAAAUAUGGAGUUGUAGCAUUGAAUGUGAGUGCCAAGUGGGCCAUUUUUGGUAAGCAGAACUGGCGAUGUGGGAUGAACCAAACGUCUGGUUAAGGAGCCAAACAUAACGCUCAUCAGAUACCACAAAAGGUGUUGGUUGAUUUUGACAGCAGGACGGUGGCCAUGGAAGUUGGAAUCCGCUAAGGAGUGUGUAACAACUCACCUGCCGAAUCAACCAGCCCUGAAAAUGGAUGGCGCUGUAGCGUUGGUCCUAUACCAGACCGUUACCGCGAAGCAGUAUGUGGUAACGUGUAGGAGGGCGCAGUGGUGAGCAUAGAAGCCUAGGCCGUGAGGUUGGGUGGAGCCGCCACUGGCGCAGAUCUUGGUGGUAGUAGCAAAUAUACAAGUGAGAACCUUGUAGACUGAAGUGGAGAAGGGUUCCA